UUAACUCAAAUUUGUAAGGAGUUGGAACGUUUGUCUACGUUUGCCGCUAGGGGCGCUGUUCCAACUGCAUAGAAAUUUGAGUUA
This 84-nucleotide microRNA precursor is filed under the name Bombyx mori (domestic silkworm). RNAcentral describes it as "mir-2807 microRNA precursor family". It matches the Rfam family "mir-2807 microRNA precursor family". The record is from Rfam by way of RNAcentral. Lineage: Eukaryota; Metazoa; Arthropoda; Insecta; Lepidoptera; Bombycidae.